UAGGCUAGAAUGUGAAGGAAUGAUACAGAAAUGGAUCAGUCAGCAAUGACCUGAAACA
Molecule: ribosomal RNA, 58 nt
Filed under: uncultured organism
Description: partial 16S ribosomal RNA
Source: RNAcentral